GUGGGAUUCCCGUGUGAAAGGGCAGCGUGGCUCUGGGCCGGGGGGCCGCUGCGGUACGGCGGCUGCUAAAACUCUCCCUGCCCCGUAAGUGCUGCUGAAAAUCCCGCUGGGAGCGUGCUGGCUGCGGGGAGGGCCAAAGCUUUUCAAGCGCUUUCACCUCGAGGUCACCGGUUCAGACUCAGCCUGGGGGCAGGGAGCACGGUAAGUGGAUGUUAUUCCUGAUGGAUGUGCGAGGGGAGGAGGAUUUAGGAGAAAUUGGUCUGGGGCGUUUUCAGGCUGGAGACUUCAGAGGAACAGACGUCCCUGUUGUUAGAGCUAAUUAGCAGCUUCGGUUCGGUGGGCAAAGGGUCGAACAAACCACGAGGCUGCUGGCUGAGCAUCCCCGGCUGCCGGCGGGCUGCGAGCUGCUCCCGGCCGGGCUGCUGGCACUUCCUUGCUCCCCGCGGGAGGCUGACCUGCUUCAAAGCACACAGACAGAGCUUUCAGGCUCUCCAAAUCCCCAGCACCUCCCAGCAGAUGCUGGAUCUCGUGCUCUGCUCCCGCAGCACGCCGGCUUUGCACUCAAGGCAUUUCUCCGGGGGCCCCCUCAGACGGUUCCCCGCCUUGGGUUUGUUUCUGAUCUCCCCGUUCCUUGGGGCACCUUCCCAGAGUUGGGUUCAAACCUAAAAAGAAAAAAGGGUUAAAAAAAGGUUAGAAAUCCCCUUCUGACUCUCCUUGUAGCUGCAGGUUGGAGGAAGCGGCCUCGCUGUGUCCAGACAGGCAGCUCUGCCUCAGAAGCUCCCACCGCAGAGCUGCCAGCCCGCCCUGCCCUGGCAGCAGAGGUUGGAGGCACGCGGGCAGCGAGCGACACGGGGUCCCCAAAGUGCUGCAGAUCCGCGAUGAUUGAAGACCUUCUCCUGGCAGACAAACCAACCGCUCCCGAGGAUGUGCACUUGGCGGGACCCCGCUGUCUCACGUCGCCCCCCCCCCGCCACCUGCCUGUCGCUGGAGAGGUGACAAAAUGGCAUCUUUCCUCCCCGGCGAGGUGAGUCGCUGCCAGUUCCUCGCUGGGUCAAGCAGGUUUCCUCGCUUUAUUUUUUGCCAUCCCCUGUGGUUUCCUCCUCCCCUGCAUCGCUGCGGGAACAGCGGGGAUUGCCUCCAUCACUUCCCCCCUCCUGGCUCCCAACCUCUUCAUUUUUCAGCACAGCUUUGCUUGAAACAAUGGCACAAGCCUGCAAGCCAGGAAUGCUUUGCAGCGCGGUGGAGCAGGGCCUCCUUCCCAAUUCAUCACUAAUGCAGGAACGCCAAGCCCUUCCUGGCUGCAGCGAGCACGAGAUAAAAGCUAAAAGAGGCAUCAAUAAUUAAAAACCACUCAGAGCCGGUAAGUGCAAACAGGAGCCAACAUACAGAUCGAAGGCAGCGCCAGCGACGGGGGCUGUCAGCUGCUGGGCUGCUCACAGGGAUCCCACACCCCUCUGCGUCCCCCCCCCAGCCCUCAGCCACGUGGUGACAAGGUGCCCAUGGGUCAGGAGAACAAAACGGGUGUGAGUCCGUGCAGGGAAAACCCAAAUCUUCGCUUGGGUGAUCCCAAUUCUGCUCCCACACUGCAUGGCCACAACCCUCCCCCUCUCCCCCCCGGGCUGCUCUGCCCACCGUCCCUGCUGUGGGGGGGAACUCAACGCCCACAUCCCCUGCAGCUCCCCCAGCCCUGCCCCGUGUUACCUUCCCCACAUCCUCUUCCCCAUAUCUGCAGCCCCAUGUUCCCUGCCCUGACGUCCCCUUCCCCACAUCCCCUGCCCUAUGUCUCCAGUCCCACAUCACCUGCAGCGUCCUCUUCCCCAUGUCCUCUUCUUCCUGUCCCCUUCCUUAUGUCUGCUGCCCUGUGUCCCACAUCCCCUUCCCCAUGUCCCCUGCAGUGUCCUCUUCCCCACAUCCUCUUCCCUGCCCACGUUCACUUCCCCAUAUCCCCUUCCCUAUGUCUGCUGCUGUCUCCAGUCCCGUGUCCCCUGCCCCAUGUUCCCUUCCCCAUAUCCCCCGCCAGUGUCCUCUUCCCCACGUACCCUUCCCCGUGUCUCCUGUCCUAUAUCUCCAGCCCCCUCCCCCAUGUGUCUUGCCCCAUAUCCUCUUCCCUUUCUCCAGCCCCACAUCUCCUGCCCCAUGUCCCCUUCCCUAUGUCUCUAGCCCCAAGUCCCCAGCCUCAUAUCCCCUCUUCUAUGGCUCCAGCCCCACUUCCUUGCCCCCAUAUCCCUUUCCCUAUGUCCCCUGCCCUACAACCCCAUCCUUAUAUCCCC
Long non-coding RNA from Gallus gallus (chicken), 2270 nucleotides. The record is from Ensembl. NCBI's taxonomy places the organism in Eukaryota, Metazoa, Chordata, Aves, Galliformes, Phasianidae.